Molecule: long non-coding RNA, 4889 nt
Filed under: Malus domestica (apple)
Lineage: Eukaryota; Viridiplantae; Streptophyta; Magnoliopsida; Rosales; Rosaceae
Description: long non-coding RNA (MDOM_LNC011328)
Source: RNAcentral
UCCUCCGUUAGAUCCAAGUACUCUAAGUCUUUUCUUAGGGUCUCUUCCAAAGUUUUCCUAGGUCUUCCUCUACCCCUUUGGCCCUGAACCUCUGUCCCGUAGUCACAUAUUCGAACCGGAGCGUCAGUAGGCCUUCUUUGCACAUGUCCAAACCACCGUAACCGAUUUUCUCUCAUCUUUCCUUCAAUUUUGGCUACUCCUACUUUACCUCGGAUAUCCUCAUUCCCAAUCUUAUCUUUUCUCGUGUGCCCACACAUCCCACGAAGCAUCCUCAUCUCCGCUACACCCAUUUUGUGUACGUGUUGAUGCUUCAUCGCCCAACAUUCUGUGCCAUACAGCGUCGCUAGCCUUAUUGCCGUCCUAUAAAAUUUUCCCUUGAGCUUCAGUGGCCUACGACGGUCCCACAACACGCCGGAUGCACUCUUCCACUUCAUCCAUCCAGCUUGUAUUCUAUGGUUGAGAUCUCCAUCUAAUUCUCCGUUCUUUUGCAAGAUAGAUCCUAGGUAGCGAAAACGGUCGCUUUUUGUGAUCUUGGCUAGAUUGCUCCGGUCAUUAGUGUAGAUAAGUAUAUAAAUGGAUAGAGACAGGAAAGCAAACACAAGAUGUACGUGGUUCACCCAGAUUGGCUACGUCCACGGAAUAUAGGAGUUCUCAUUAAUUGCGAAGGGUUUACACAAGUACAUAGGUUCAAGCUCUCCUAGUGAGUACAAGUGAAUGAUUUAGUACAAAUGACAUUAGGAAAUAUUGUGGGAGAAUGAUAUCGUAAUCACGAAACUUCUAAGUACCGAAGUGUGGUAUCGUCUUCACUUACCUUAUCUGUCUCAUAGGUAGAUGUGGCAUCUUCUCUGGAAGUACUCUUCCUCCAUCCAGGGGUGGUAUCUUUAACUGGUGGAGAUGCACAAGGUAAUGUAUCAAUUUCACUUGAAGCUUACUUGUAGUUUCAGGCUUGGUCAAGCACGAUACAAACCAUGUAGUAGGAGUCCCCCAAGUCGCCGAGCUAGGGCAUCUGCUGAAAGAGAUGACAGACAAGGUAAGCAAUCAGAGCUCCAAGCAAUCAGUCCCAGACCAGAAGUUUGAUUUCAAGUUCCGGCUGAUUGUUCUCAUUCUCCCUAUCUUGCAGGCAGCAUGAAGGAUAAAGAGAAGAAAAAUGAGAAGAGAUGAUAUGAGAUACUUUUUCUUUUGAAGAAGUAACUUUCCACAGGCUUAUUCUUGAACUGGGCUGGAGGGUUUUCUGGUUUCCUCCAGAGUAUAAGGCCGACUAAAGAAUUUGAGGGUCAAAAUAAGUCCAUCAAAUCUAGAGUACGUUCGACCCUGCUGAUAUGGGAUACUUUUGCUUUUGACAAAGUAGUGGAUGUAUCGGCACGUGUGCUGUCACGCUUGUCUCCACAUGCUUCCUUGUAUCCUUCUCACUUGCCCUAUCUGUUCCUCAGGCAGAUGCGGUAUCUUCCCUGGAAGCAUAAGAUGUUGAAGAUGAGUACUCGAGAGCAAUGUCAGGUAAGUAAUCAGGUAAGGGGUUCAAGACGGUCAGUUCCUGACUGGAAGCUUGAUUCCAAGUGCUGACUGAUUGCUCUCUUUCUCCUUGUCUUGUAGGUAAGAACAAGGCCAAAGGAAAAGACAGGGAAAAAGCAUGAUAUGGGAUACUCUUGCUUUUAACCCUGAUGAUAUGAGAUAUUCUUGCUCUAGUAUAGCUUGUUUGCAGAGAUAUUAUCGGGGGAGAAAGAAAGCUGAAUAUUUCGAAAGGUUUCGUUGGGAGUGCCCUCUCAGAUAUGAGGAAGGGUUGAGCAUUUUUGCAAGUUUGCCUGUCCGUUACCAUGCUUAGUUAUAGCACGGUAGUGGGAGCUGCUAGCUUCACAUGUUUUAACUCUGUCAGAGCACUUUGAAAAAGUGGUCUGUGGUAUCUGGAAAGCUGAUUUUGCUUGUGAAGAUUACAGACAAGCUUUAUCCAAGGAGGUCUGGCUCUCGAAGUUGAGAAAGUGGUCCCUCUUCGAUUUUCGAACAAGCAAUCCUGUCAGGGAUCUGGCUCUCGAGAUUCGGAGAACGAUGCCUCUUCGAUUUUUGAGAAAGCAAUCCUGCUGGGGGUCUGGCUCUCGAGAUUCGGAGAGCGGUGUCUCUUCGAUUUUUGAGAAAGUAAUCAUGUUGGGAGUCUGGCUCUCGAGAUUCGGAGGGCAGUGCCUCUUAGAUUUUGGAGCAAGCAAUCUUGUUGGGAGUGUUUUCUCGAAUGUGGGUAAAGGUUGGGUAUGUUUGCUAGUCUACCUUGCCACGGAGCACAGAGGUUGACACAUAGGGACUUUCCAAUUAUCCAGCAGUGGUACUGUUCCUUUACCCUUGUGGGUAAUAAUAUGGUAGCUAGACCUUCAAAAUUUAUGUGUCUAAACUUUGUUAGUGUUGUUUCUUUGCUAUUCUUUUACCCUUCUUGGUCAGAGUGAUGUAGUGGGAGCUGCAAGUUUCACGUGUCUCAACUUUGUCAGAGAACUUUGGCAAAGUUAUCUGUGGUACCCAUGAGCUAAUGUUGUGUGUGCAAAGUGGGUGAUUGAACAGUAAGAUUCAUAUGCUUUCUAUUUCACCAGAAAUCUUCGAUAGAAUGCCCGUAAUUUCCGCAAAGCUGAGUGUCCGUGUGACAGGUGCUGACAAGGCUGAAAAAGUAGGUGCCUCUUCGAUUUCUGAUAUCGGCCCUCGUGGUCUCUGAGUAGCCCAGCUUUUGAAAAAGCAAGCGCCUCUUCGAUUUCUGAGAUCGGCCUUCGUGGUCUUUGAGCAGCCCAGCUUUUGAGAAAGCAAACACCUCUUCGAUUUCUGAGAUCAACCCUCGUGGGCUCUGAGCAACCCAGCUUCUAAGAAAGCAAACGCCUCUUCGAUUUCUGAGCAGGCGCCUCUUCGAUUUCUGAAACUCCGUCGAGUGCAGAUUUUUAUAGAGGCUGGCAUUAAGUUCCAAAGCACACUUGAAUCUCCACCGGUAGAAGCUCCAUUCUUGCACUUCUAAGAUCUUGAUUUGUCCGACCUGUUCUCUCUUCAACACCUUUGAAAAUGUCUGGCCCCUCCGACUGUCGUUUUGACUUGAACCUUGUUGAAGAGGCAGCCACGCCUUCUCCAGACAACAUAUGGCACCCAUCCCUUGUCUCCCCUACUGGUCCUCUUACCGUUGGGGAUUUCGUGAUGAAGAAUGAUAUGACCGCUGCGGUGGUGGCCAGGAACCUUCUCACUCCCAAAGAUAACAAACUACUUUCCAAACGGUCUGAUGAGUUGGCUGUUAAGGAUUCUCUGGCUCUCAGUGUUCAGUGUGCAGAUUCUGUGUCUAAUAUGGCCCAACGCCUAUUUGCUCGAACCCGCCAAGUUGAAUCAUUGGCGGCUGAAGUGAUGAGUCUCAAACAGGAGAUUAGAGGGCUCAAGCAUGAGAAUAAACAGUUGCACCGGCUCGCACAUGACUAUGCUACAAACAUGAAGAGGAAGCUUGACCAGAUGAAGGAAUCUGAUGGUCAGGUUUUACUUGAUCAUCAGAGGUUUGUGGGUUUGUUCCAAAGGCAUUUAUUGCCUUCGUCUUCUAGGGCUGUACCGCGUAAUGAAGCUCCAAAUGAUCAACCUCUGAUGCCUCAUCCUUCUAGGGUUCUGUCCAGUACUGAGGCUCUGAAUAAUCCCCCUCCGGUGCCUUCUCUUUCUGGGGCUCUACCGACUGCUGAGACUUCUCCUAAGCAACCUUUGUGAAUGCUCACUCUUGUUUGUUUAUUUUGACUCAUGUAUAUGUACAUAUUUGUAACUUAUCGGGGAUAUCGAUAAAUAAGCUUUGUUUCAUUUCAACGUAUUGUGUUAAAUACACCAAAGCCUUCUUCGCUAAGUUCUUUGAAUUUUUCUUUUGAUGAAGCUUGUAUGUUGAAGCUUUGUGAGUGGAGCAUGUAGGUUGAGGUAGUGUUCCCUUAAUUUCCCGAGUGAGGAAAACUUCUCGGUUGGAAACUUGGCAAAUCCAAGUCAUUGAGUGGGGUCGGCUAUAUGAAUCUUAGAACGCCAUUGUGCUCGGUCAUGUGUCAUGUCCUCUGUUAGAUCCAAGUACUCUAAGUCUUUUCUUAGAGUCUCUUCCAAAGUUUUCCUAGGUCUUCCUCUACCCCUUCGGCCCUGAACCUCUGUCUCAUAGUCGCAUCUUCUAAUCGGAGCGUCAGUAGGCCUUCUUUGCACAUGUCCAAACCACCGUAACCGAUUUUCUCUCAUCUUUCCUUCAAUUUCGGCUACUCCUACUUUACCCCGGAUAUCCUCAUUCCUAAUCUUAUCCUUUCUCGUGUGCCCACACAUCCAACGAAGCAUCCUCAUCUCCGCUACACCCAUUUUGUGUACGUGUUGAUGGUUCACCGCCCAACAUUCUGUGCCAUACAGCAUCGCUAGCCUUGUUGCCGUCCUAUAAAAUUUUCCCUUGAGCUUUAGUGGCAUACGGCGGUCACACAACACGCCAGAUGCACUCUUCCACUUCAUCCAUCCAGCUUGUAUUCUAUGGUUGAGAUCUCCAUCUAAUUCUCCGUUCUUUUGCAAGAUAAAUCCUAGGUAACGAAAACGGUCGCUCUUUGGUAUUUCUUGAUCUCCGAUCCUCACCCCUAACUCGUUUUGGCCUCCAUUUGCACUGAACUUGCACUCCAUAUAUUCUGUCUUUGAUCGGCUUAGGCGAAGACCUUUAGAUUCUAACACUUCUCUCCAAAGGUUAAGCUUUGCAUUUACCUCUUCCUGAGUUUCAUCUAUCAAUACUAUAUCGUCUACGAAAAGCAUACACCAAGGAAUAUCAUCUUGGAUAUGUCCUGUUAACUCAUCCAUUACCAAAGCAAAAAGGUAAGGACUUAAGGAUGAGCCUUAAUGUAAUCCUACAGUUAUGGGAAAGCUUUCGGUUUGUCCUUCAUGAGUUCUUACGGCAGUCUUUG